RNAcentral lists this long non-coding RNA (297 nucleotides) under Helianthus annuus (common sunflower). RNAcentral describes it as "sRNA HanXRQr2_Chr07g0298321". The record is from RNAcentral. Lineage: Eukaryota; Viridiplantae; Streptophyta; Magnoliopsida; Asterales; Asteraceae.
UUUUAACGCUAAGAAAAAGAUGUAGAUUUGUAUUUAGUAUUUACAUCAGCAAUUACCUUCUUUCAGGCGCAGGAGCACAGGCCACUACAGAUGACAAAAGAAUAUAGGUUUUCAAAGGAAAUCAUUGAAGCCUGUUGUUUAUCUUCGUUCUCGAAAUUGAUUGCUUAUCGUUUUAGAUUAUUUGGGUAAUUUUUAUUCAUGAGUUUUUAUUUUUGAAUUAGUGGUUGUUCUUCACCCCUACGAUUCUCAACCACAUGCAUGAUAUCAAUGAAUUGAUAAUUUGAUAUAUUUUAAAUU